GUACCUAUAGCUCAAUUGGAUAGAGUGCCUGACUACGAAUCAGGAGGUUGGGGGUUCGAUCCCUCCUAGGUACGCCA
This 77-nucleotide transfer RNA is filed under the name Tissierellia bacterium. RNAcentral's name for it is "tRNA-Arg". It matches the Rfam family "tRNA". From Rfam's summary of the family: Transfer RNA (tRNA) molecules are approximately 80 nucleotides in length. Their secondary structure includes four short double-helical elements and three loops (D, anti-codon, and T loops). Lineage: Bacteria; Bacillati; Bacillota; Tissierellia. RNAcentral also lists the same sequence under 1 other name. The record is from RNAcentral.